GCCUUCGUGGUGUAGAGGUCAGCUCGUUGGGCGUGUAUUCCAGAGGUCUAUGGUUCGAGUCCCGGCGAAGGCG
Molecule: non-coding RNA, 73 nt
Organism: Stegodyphus mimosarum
Lineage: Eukaryota; Metazoa; Arthropoda; Arachnida; Araneae; Eresidae
Source: Rfam